GAUGAACGCUAGCGGCAGGCUUAACACAUGCAAGUCGAGGGGCAGCAUAAUGAAGUAGCAAUACGGAAUUGAUGGCGACCGGCGCACGGGUGCGUAACGCGUAUGUAACCUACCUUUAACAAGGGGAUAACACUGAGAAAUUGGUACUAAUACCCUAUAAUACCUGAGGAGCAUCUUUUGGGUUGAAAGUUCCGGCGGUUAGAGAUGGACAUGCGUUGUAUUAGCUAGAUGGUGAGGUAACGGCUCACCAUGGCGACGAUACAUAGGGGACUGAGAGGUUAACCCCCCACACUGGUACUGAGACACGGACCAGACUCCUACGGAGGCA
Molecule: ribosomal RNA, 328 nt
Filed under: uncultured bacterium
Lineage: Bacteria
Description: bacterial SSU rRNA
Rfam family: Bacterial small subunit ribosomal RNA
Source: RNAcentral